RNAcentral lists this ribosomal RNA (2453 nucleotides) under Clostridioides difficile. Its description in RNAcentral is "bacterial LSU rRNA". It matches the Rfam family "Bacterial large subunit ribosomal RNA", at positions 447 to 2925 of the family's 2925-position model. The record is from RNAcentral. Lineage: Bacteria; Bacillati; Bacillota; Clostridia; Peptostreptococcales; Peptostreptococcaceae.
GAGGGACCACCCUCCAAGGCUAAAUACUACCUAGUGACCGAUAGCGUAUAGUACCGUGAGGGAAAGGUGAAAAGAACCCCGGGAGGGGAGUGAAAUAGAACCUGAAACCCUGCACUUACAAGCUGUGGAAGCACAUUUCUUGUGUGACCGCGUACUUUUUGUAGAACGGGCCAACGAGUUACGUUAAGUAGCAAGGUUAAGCACUUAAGGUGCGGAGCCGUAGCGAAAGCGAGUUUUAACUGAGCGUUCAGUUACUUGACGUAGACCCGAAACCGGGCGACCUACCCAUGAGCAGGAUGAAGCGAAAGUAAAAUUUCGUGGAGGUCCGAACCCACGAGCGUUGAAAAGCUCGGGGAUGACUUGUGGGUAGCGGUGAAAUUCCAAUCGAGCCCGGAGAUAGCUGGUUCUCCCCGAAAUAGCUUUAGGGCUAGCCUCAAGGUGAGAGAUACGGAGGUAGAGCACUGAAUGUCCUAGGGGGUAUUGCACCUACCGAAGACUAUCAAACUCCGAAUGCCGUCAUCUUAUACUUGGGAGUCAGACUGUGGGUGAUAAGAUUCAUAGUCGAAAGGGCAACAGCCCAGAUCGUCAGCUAAGGUCCCUAAAUGUAAGUUAAGUGGUAAAGGAUGUGGGAUUGCACAGACAACCAGGAUGUUGGCUUAGAAGCAGCCACUCAUUCAAAGAGUGCGUAAUAGCUCACUGGUCGAGUGAUCCUGCGCCGAAGAUUUCCGGGGCUAAAACUUACUACCGAAGCUACGGCAUCAGUAAUGAUGGGUAGGGGAGCUUCCCAUACGGGUUGAAGCAUGACCGUAAGGACAUGUGGACAGUAUGGGAGUGAGAAUGUUGGCAUGAGUAGCGAGAUGUGGGUGAGAAUCCCACAGGCCGUAAACCCAAGGUUUCCAGGGGAAGGUUCGUCCGCCCUGGGUUAGUCGGGACCUAAGCUGAGGCCGAAAGGCGUAGGUGAUGGACAACAGGUUGAUAUUCCUGUACUACCGAUAACCGUUUGAGAGAAGGGAUGACACAGUAGGAUAAGCUAAGCACACUGUUGGUUAUGUGUGCCCAAGCAUUGAGGCAGUCAAAGUAGGCAAAUCCGCUUUGAUAAUGCUGGGAUGUGAUGGGGAGCGAAAUUUAGUAGCGAAGUAGCUGAUUUCACACUGUCAAGAAAAGUCUCUAUCGAGGUUAAAGGUACCCGUACCGCAAACCGACACAGGUGGGUGAGGAGAGUAUCCUAAGGCCAGCGAGAGAACUGUUGUUAAGGAACUCGGCAAAAUGACCCCGUAACUUAGGGAUAAGGGGUGCCACCAUCAGGUGGCCGCAGAGAAUAGGCCCAAGCGACUGUUUACCAAAAACAUAGGUUUCUGCUAAGUCGCAAGACGAUGUAUAGGAGCUGACGCCUGCCCGGUGCUGGAAGGUUAAGGGGAUCUGUUAGAGCAAUCGAAGCAGUGAACUUAAGCCCCAGUAAACGGCGGCCGUAACUAUAACGGUCCUAAGGUAGCGAAAUUCCUUGUCGGGUAAGUUCCGACCCGCACGAAAGGCGUAACGAUUUGGGCACUGUCUCAACAACAGACUCGGUGAAAUUGUAAUUCCGGUGAAGAUGCCGGAUACCUGCGACAGGACGGAAAGACCCCAUGGAGCUUUACUGUAGCUUGACAUUGGGUCUUGGUACUACAUGUACAGGAUAGGUGGGAGGCUUUGAAACCAGGACGCCAGUUUUGGCGGAGCCAUCCUUGGGAUACCACCCUUGUAGUACUGGGACUCUAACCAUAGGCCAUGAAUCUGGUCUUGGGACACUGUCAGGUGGGCAGUUUGACUGGGGCGGUCGCCUCCCAAAAGGUAACGGAGGCGCUCAAAGGUUCUCUCAGUACGGUCGGAAAUCGUACGUAGAGUGUAAAGGCAAAAGAGAGCUUGAUUGCAAGACAUACAGGUCGAGCAAGGAUGAAAAUCGGACUUAGUGAUCCGGUGGUUCUGCGUGGAAGGGCCAUCGCUCAACGGAUAAAAGCUACCCUGGGGAUAACAGGCUUAUCUCCCCCAAGAGUCCACAUCGACGGGGAGGUUUGGCACCUCGAUGUCGGCUCAUCACAUCCUGGGGCUGUAGUAGGUCCCAAGGGUUGGGCUGUUCGCCCAUUAAAGUGGUACGCGAGCUGGGUUCAGAACGUCGUGAGACAGUUCGGUCCCUAUCCGUCGCAGGCGUAGGAAAUUUGAGAAGACCUGUCCUUAGUACGAGAGGACCGGGAUGGACGUACCUCUGGUGUACCAGUUGUUCUGCCAAGGGCAUGGCUGGGUAGCUAUGUACGGAAUGGAUAAGCGCUGAAAGCAUCUAAGCGCGAAGCCAACUUCAAGAUAAGAUUUCCCACCGCAAGGGUAAGACCCCAGAAAGACUAUCUGGUUGAUAGGUCGAAGGUGUAAGUGCAGCAAUGUAUUUAGCUUAUCGAUACUAAUAGGUCGAGGACUUGACC